GGUCAGCAGCAGCCCCACGCACAGCAGGAGAAUCUUCAUGGUAUGGCCACCUCCAAUUCUGGAAUCCUAGCAGGUCUGUCUGGCCCCCUCGCUACUCC
This is a long non-coding RNA of Dipodomys spectabilis (banner-tailed kangaroo rat), 98 nucleotides long. RefSeq lists it as uncharacterized. Lineage: Eukaryota; Metazoa; Chordata; Mammalia; Rodentia; Heteromyidae. The transcript has 3 exons. The record is from RefSeq and is a predicted model, not a curated record.